CUGAAGUGACAAAUGCCCUGCUUCCAGGAAAAGCCUCUAAGCAUCAGGUAACAUCAAAUCGUACCCCAAACCGACACAGGUGGUCAGGUAGAGAAUACCAAGGCGCUUGAGAGAACUCGGGUGAAGGAACUAGGCAAAAUGGUGCCGUAACUUCGGGAGAAGGCACGCUGAUAUGUAGGUGAAGCGACUUGCUCGUGGAGCUGAAAUCAGUCGAAGAUACCAGCUGGCUGCAACUGUUUAUUAAAAACACAGCACUGUGCAAACACGAAAGUGGACGUAUACGGUGUGACGCCUGCCCGGUGCCGGAAGGUUAAUUGAUGGGGUUAGCGGUAACGCGAAGCUCUUGAUCGAAGCCCCGGUAAACGGCGGCCGUAACUAUAACGGUCCUAAGGUAGCGAAAUUCCUUGUCGGGUAAGUUCCGACCUGCACGAAUGGCGUAAUGAUGGCCAGGCUGUCUCCACCCGAGACUCAGUGAAAUUGAACUCGCUGUGAAGAUGCAGUGUACCCGCGGCAAGACGGAAAGACCCCGUGAACCUUUACUAUAGCUUGACACUGAACAUUGAGCCUUGAUGUGUAGGAUAGGUGGGAGGCUUUGAAGUGUGGACGCCAGUCUGCAUGGAGCCGACCUUGAAAUACCACCCUUUAAUGUUUGAUGUUCUAACGUUGGCCCGUAAUCCGGGUUGCGGACAGUGUCUGGUGGGUAGUUUGACUGGGGCGGUCUCCUCCUAAAGAGUAACGGAGGAGCACGAAGGUUGGCUAAUCCUGGUCGGACAUCAGGAGGUUAGUGCAAUGGCAUAAGCCAGCUUGACUGCGAGCGUGACGGCGCGAGCAGGUGCGAAAGCAGGUCAUAGUGAUCCGGUGGUUCUGAAUGGAAGGGCCAUCGCUCAACGGAUAAAAGGUACUCCGGGGAUAACAGGCUGAUACCGCCCAAGAGUUCAUAUCGACGGCGGUGUUUGGCACCUCGAUGUCGGCUCAUCACAUCCUGGGGCUGAAGUAGGUCCCAAGGGUAUGGCUGUUCGCCAUUUAAAGUGGUACGCGAGCUGGGUUUAGAACGUCGUGAGACAGUUCGGUCCCUAUCUGCCGUGGGCGCUGGAGAACUGAGGGGGGCUGCUCCUAGUACGAGAGGACCGGAGUGGACGCAUCACUGGUGUUCGGGUUGUCAUGCCAAUGGCACUGCCCGGUAGCUAAAUGCGGAAGAGAUAAGUGCUGAAAGCAUCUAAGCACGAAACUUGCCCCGAGAUGAGUUCUCCCUGAGACUUAGAGUCUCCUGAAGGAACGUUGAAGACGACGACGUUGAUAGGCCGGGUGUGUAAGCGCAGCGAUGCGUUGAGCUAACCGGUACUAAUGAACCGUGAGGCUUAACCUUACAACGCCGAAG
Molecule: ribosomal RNA, 1378 nt
Filed under: Escherichia coli
Lineage: Bacteria; Pseudomonadati; Pseudomonadota; Gammaproteobacteria; Enterobacterales; Enterobacteriaceae
Description: partial 23S ribosomal RNA
Rfam family: Bacterial large subunit ribosomal RNA
Source: RNAcentral